UGGGGAAUAUUGCACAAUGGGCGCAAGCCUGAUGCAGCGACGCCGCGUGAGGGAUGACGGCCUUCGGGUUGUAAACCUCUGUUAGCAGGGAAGAAGAGAGAUUGACGGUACCUGCAGAGAAAGCGCCGGCUAACUACGUGCCAGCAGCCGCGGUAAUACGUAGGGCGCGAGCGUUGUCCGGAAUUAUUGGGCGUAAAGAGCUUGUAGGCGGUUUGUCGCGUCUGCUGUGAAAGGCCGGGGCUUAACUCCGUGUAUUGCAGUGGGUACGGGCAGACUAGAGUGCAGUAGGGGAGACUGGAAUUCCUGGUGUAGCGGUGGAAUGCGCAGAUAUCAGGAGGAACACCGAUGGCGAAGGCAGGUCUCUGGGCUGUAACUGACGCUGAGAAGCGAAAGCAUGGGGAGCGAACA
Molecule: ribosomal RNA, 408 nt
Filed under: uncultured Rothia sp.
Lineage: Bacteria; Bacillati; Actinomycetota; Actinomycetes; Micrococcales; Micrococcaceae
Description: bacterial SSU rRNA
Rfam family: Bacterial small subunit ribosomal RNA
Source: RNAcentral